RNAcentral lists this ribosomal RNA (3010 nucleotides) under Salmonella enterica subsp. enterica serovar Thompson str. RM6836. RNAcentral's name for it is "bacterial LSU rRNA". It matches the Rfam family "Bacterial large subunit ribosomal RNA". Lineage: Bacteria; Pseudomonadati; Pseudomonadota; Gammaproteobacteria; Enterobacterales; Enterobacteriaceae. The record is from RNAcentral.
GGGUUGUGAGGUUAAGCGACUAAGCGUACACGGUGGAUGCCCUGGCAGUCAGAGGCGAUGAAGGGCGUGCUAAUCUGCGAUAAGCGCCGGUAAGGUGAUAUGAACCGUUAUAACCGGCGAUACCCGAAUGGGGAAACCCAGUGUGAUUCGUCACACUAUCAUUAACUGAAUCCAUAGGUUAAUGAGGCGAACCGGGGGAACUGAAACAUCUAAGUACCCCGAGGAAAAGAAAUCAACCGAGAUUCCCCCAGUAGCGGCGAGCGAACGGGGAGGAGCCCAGAGCCUGAAUCAGCAUGUGUGUUAGUGGAAGCGUCUGGAAAGGCGCGCGAUACAGGGUGACAGCCCCGUACACAAAAGCGCAUGUGCUGUGAGCUCGAUGAGUAGGGCGGGACACGUGGUAUCCUGUCUGAAUAUGGGGGGACCAUCCUCCAAGGCUAAAUACUCCUGACUGACCGAUAGUGAACCAGUACCGUGAGGGAAAGGCGAAAAGAACCCCGGCGAGGGGAGUGAAAAAGAACCUGAAACCGUGUACGUACAAGCAGUGGGAGCACAGGUUUACCUGUGUGACUGCGUACCUUUUGUAUAAUGGGUCAGCGACUUAUAUUCUGUAGCAAGGUUAACCGUAUAGGGGAGCCGGAGGGAAACCGAGUCUUAACCGGGCGUUAAGUUGCAGGGUAUAGACCCGAAACCCGGUGAUCUAGCCAUGGGCAGGUUGAAGGUUGGGUAACACUAACUGGAGGACCGAACCGACUAAUGUUGAAAAAUUAGCGGAUGACCUGUGGCUGGGGGUGAAAGGCCAAUCAAACCGGGAGAUAGCUGGUUCUCCCCGAAAGCUAUUUAGGUAGCGCCUCGUGAAUUCAUCUCCGGGGGUAGAGCACUGUUUCGGCUAGGGGGCCAUCCCGGCUUACCAACCCGAUGCAAACUGCGAAUACCGGAGAAUGUUAUCACGGGAGACACACGGCGGGUGCUAACGUCCGUCGUGAAGAGGGAAACAACCCAGACCGCCAGCUAAGGUCCCAAAGUCAUGGUUAAGUGGGAAACGAUGUGGGAAGGCCCAGACAGCCAGGAUGUUGGCUUAGAAGCAGCCAUCAUUUAAAGAAAGCGUAAUAGCUCACUGGUCGAGUCGGCCUGCGCGGAAGAUGUAACGGGGCUAAACCAUGCACCGAAGCUGCGGCAGCGAACGUAUCACUUAAAGCGAUUCAGCGGGUUACGAUUGACGGAGCGAAGCGACGUCAAAGCGUAUACAAAGUCGAGUCGGUUUAAGGAUACGUUCGUUGGGUAGGGGAGCGUUCUGUAAGCCUGUGAAGGUGGCCUGUGAGGGUUGCUGGAGGUAUCAGAAGUGCGAAUGCUGACAUAAGUAACGAUAAAGCGGGUGAAAAGCCCGCUCGCCGGAAGACCAAGGGUUCCUGUCCAACGUUAAUCGGGGCAGGGUGAGUCGACCCCUAAGGCGAGGCCGAAAGGCGUAGUCGAUGGGAAACAGGUUAAUAUUCCCGUACUUGGUGUUACUGCGAAGGGGGGACGGAGAAGGCUAUGUUGGCCGGGCGACGGUUGUCCCGGUUUAAGCGUGUAGGUGUGUGUUCCAGGUAAAUCCGGUUCACUUUAACACUGAGGCGUGAUGACGAGGCACUACGGUGCUGAAGCAACAAAUGCCCUGCUUCCAGGAAAAGCCUCUAAGCAUCAGGUAACACGAAAUCGUACCCCAAACCGACACAGGUGGUCAGGUAGAGAAUACCAAGGCGCUUGAGAGAACUCGGGUGAAGGAACUAGGCAAAAUGGUGCCGUAACUUCGGGAGAAGGCACGCUGACACGUAGGUGAAGUGAUUUACUCAUGGAGCUGAAGUCAGUCGAAGAUACCAGCUGGCUGCAACUGUUUAUUAAAAACACAGCACUGUGCAAACACGAAAGUGGACGUAUACGGUGUGACGCCUGCCCGGUGCCGGAAGGUUAAUUGAUGGGGUCAGCGCAAGCGAAGCUCCUGAUCGAAGCCCCGGUAAACGGCGGCCGUAACUAUAACGGUCCUAAGGUAGCGAAAUUCCUUGUCGGGUAAGUUCCGACCUGCACGAAUGGCGUAAUGAUGGCCAGGCUGUCUCCACCCGAGACUCAGUGAAAUUGAACUCGCUGUGAAGAUGCAGUGUACCCGCGGCAAGACGGAAAGACCCCGUGAACCUUUACUAUAGCUUGACACUGAACAUUGAGCCUUGAUGUGUAGGAUAGGUGGGAGGCUUUGAAGCGUGGACGCCAGUCUGCGUGGAGCCGACCUUGAAAUACCACCCUUUAAUGUUUGAUGUUCUAACGUGGACCCGUAAUCCGGGUUGCGGACAGUGUCUGGUGGGUAGUUUGACUGGGGCGGUCUCCUCCUAAAGAGUAACGGAGGAGCACGAAGGUUGGCUAAUCCUGGUCGGACAUCAGGAGGUUAGUGCAAUGGCAUAAGCCAGCUUGACUGCGAGCGUGACGGCGCGAGCAGGUGCGAAAGCAGGUCAUAGUGAUCCGGUGGUUCUGAAUGGAAGGGCCAUCGCUCAACGGAUAAAAGGUACUCCGGGGAUAACAGGCUGAUACCGCCCAAGAGUUCAUAUCGACGGCGGUGUUUGGCACCUCGAUGUCGGCUCAUCACAUCCUGGGGCUGAAGUAGGUCCCAAGGGUAUGGCUGUUCGCCAUUUAAAGUGGUACGCGAGCUGGGUUUAGAACGUCGUGAGACAGUUCGGUCCCUAUCUGCCGUGGGCGCUGGAGAACUGAGGGGGGCUGCUCCUAGUACGAGAGGACCGGAGUGGACGCAUCACUGGUGUUCGGGUUGUCAUGCCAAUGGCACUGCCCGGUAGCUAAAUGCGGAAGAGAUAAGUGCUGAAAGCAUCUAAGCACGAAACUUGCCCCGAGAUGAGUUCUCCCUGAGACUUAGAGUCUCCUGAAGGAACGUUGAAGACGACGACGUUGAUAGGCCGGGUGUGUAAGCGCAGCGAUGCGUUGAGCUAACCGGUACUAAUGAACCGUGAGGCUUAACCUUACAACGCCGAAG